RNAcentral lists this small nuclear RNA (325 nucleotides) under Jaculus jaculus (lesser Egyptian jerboa). Its description in RNAcentral is "7SK RNA (ENSJJAG00000007083.1)". It matches the Rfam family "7SK RNA". Rfam says of the family: 7SK was discovered as an abundant small nuclear RNA in the mid-70s but a possible function has only recently been suggested. Two independent studies have found that 7SK RNA binds the CDK9/cyclin T complex (known as elongation factor P-TEFb). P-TEFb activates transcription by phosphorylating the C-terminal domain of RNA polymerase II. The record is from Rfam by way of RNAcentral. Lineage: Eukaryota; Metazoa; Chordata; Mammalia; Rodentia; Dipodidae.
GGAUGUGAGGGUAAUCUGGCUGCGACAUCUUCACUCCACUGAUUGCCGGGGUUGAUUCAGUUGAUCUAGCUGGCUAGGCGGUGUCCUCUUCCUCACCACUCCACGUGCAUCCCUCCAGAAGUUGCACACUUGGCCAAAGAGGACAACCUUCCCAAGUAGAGGAAGAUGGGUCUUCUGUUAAGGGCAUAUGAGUAGCUGUACGGCCCUGGUAGAACCUCCAAACAAGCUCUCAAGGUCCAUUUGUAGGAAAAGGUAGGGUAAUCAAGCCUCCAAGACUCCAGACACAUCCAAAUGAGGCACUGCAUGUGGCAGUCUGCCUUUGUUU